RNAcentral lists this unclassified non-coding RNA (307 nucleotides) under plant metagenome. RNAcentral's name for it is "partial contains 5.8S ribosomal RNA, internal transcribed spacer 2, and large subunit ribosomal RNA". The stretch from base 1 to 103 matches the Rfam family "5.8S ribosomal RNA", at positions 52 to 154 of the family's 154-position model. The record is from RNAcentral.
AAUGCGUUAAGUAGUGUGCAUUGCAGAAUUCAGUGAAUCAUCGAAUCUUUGAACGCACAUUGCGCCCCUUGGUAUUCCAUGGGGCAUGCCUGUUCGAGCGUCAUUUGUACCCUCAAGCUCUGCUUGGUGUUGGGUGUUUGUCCCGUCUCCGCGCGUGGACUCGCCCCAAAGUGAUUGGCAGCCGGCGUACUGGUCCCGGAGCGCAGCACAUGUCGCGCAAACGAGUGCCUUGGUACGGCGGCGUCCAUAAGCCCCUCUCUCACGCUCUUGACCUCGGAUCAGGUAGGGAUACCCGCUGAACUUAAGC